AGUCGAACGGAACUGUUUUGAAAGAUUUCUUCGGAAUGAAUUUGAUUUAGUUUAGUGGCGGACGGGUGAGUAACGCGUGAGUAACCUGCCCUCAAGAGGGGGAUAACAUUCUGAAAAGAAUGCUAAUACCGCAUGACAUAUCGGAAUCACAUGAUUUUGAUAUCAAAGAUUUUAUCGCUUGAAGAUGGACUCGCGUCCGAUUAGUUAGUUGGUGAGGUAACGGCUCACCAAGACCGCGAUCGGUAGCCGGACUGAGAGGUUGAACGGCCACAUUGGGACUGAGACACGGCCCAGACUCCUACGGGAGGCAGCAGUGGGGGAUAUUGCGCAAUGGGGGCAACCCUGACGCAGCAACGCCGCGUGAAGGAUGAAGGUUUUCGGAUUGUAAACUUCUUUUAUUAAGGACGAAACUUGACGGUACUUAAUGAAUAAGCUCCGGCUAACUACGUGCCAGCAGCCGCGGUAAUACGUAGGGAGCAAGCGUUGUCCGGAUUUACUGGGUGUAAAGGGUGCGUAGGCGGCUUUGCAAGUCAGAUGUGAAAUCUAUGGGCUCAACCCAUAAACUGCAUUUGAAACUGUAGAGCUUGAGUGAAGUAGAGGCAGGCGGAAUUCCCCGUGUAGCGGUGAAAUGCGUAGAGAUGGGGAGGAACACCAGUGGCGAAGGCGGCCUGCUGGGCUUUAACUGACGCUGAGGCACGAAAGCGUGGGUAGCAAACAGGAUUAGAUACCCUGGUAGUCCACGCUGUAAACGAUGAUUACUAGGUGUGGGGGGUCUGACCCCUUCCGUGCCGGAGUUAACACAAUAAGUAAUCCACCUGGGG
RNAcentral lists this ribosomal RNA (821 nucleotides) under uncultured bacterium. Its description in RNAcentral is "bacterial SSU rRNA". It matches the Rfam family "Bacterial small subunit ribosomal RNA", at positions 60 to 878 of the family's 1533-position model. The record is from RNAcentral.